UGCGACCCCAGGUCAGGCGGGAUUACCCGCUGAG
Molecule: ribosomal RNA, 34 nt
Filed under: Euphorbia peplus
Lineage: Eukaryota; Viridiplantae; Streptophyta; Magnoliopsida; Malpighiales; Euphorbiaceae
Also listed under: 2 other names
Description: partial 26S ribosomal RNA
Source: RNAcentral